RNAcentral lists this microRNA precursor (175 nucleotides) under Brassica rapa (field mustard). RNAcentral's name for it is "miR1140 stem-loop (bra-MIR1140)". Lineage: Eukaryota; Viridiplantae; Streptophyta; Magnoliopsida; Brassicales; Brassicaceae. The record is from miRBase by way of RNAcentral.
UCCCCUGUUCUCUCAAUCUUUUAUAUGGCUCCGAUUGGCUUUAGGCUGUUGUGGCUUUGACUUCUUUCUAAAGUCUUCAAAAUUUAGUUUUUCACAAUCACGUUAAAUUUUUUUAAAAGUCACAGCCACAACAGCCUAAACCAAUCGGAGCCAUGGUGAUGAGUUCUUGUAAGGG